Schizosaccharomyces pombe (fission yeast) is the source of this 661-nucleotide non-coding RNA. Lineage: Eukaryota; Fungi; Ascomycota; Schizosaccharomycetes; Schizosaccharomycetales; Schizosaccharomycetaceae. The record is from the annotation of a GenBank genome assembly.
GUAUGAUUUGUUUUUGUGACGAUUAUAGCAAUUUACUCUUGCUCUUGCAAUUUUUUGUUUGUAUUUUGUUUUUUGUUCAGAUAUAUAUAUAUAUAGAAAUAUAAAUUUGAUAUGGGCUAGCGUUUUAACAUAUUUUUUGUCCAAUGCCACAAUCCCCAAUUCGAGUAUACUCACAUCUCUCUUAACCAGUUUAUCUAAAAAAGUGAAUUUGCUUUGUGGCUACUUCUAUUUCUUCUGUAAGUCUUUAAAACCCUCAAGUUAUUAUAUAGAAAAAUACAUGAGAUGAGAAUUGAAAUAAAUUGGGCAUAAAGAUACAUUUCCUGUUAGACGCAUCGUUUCUUCUUUAAAUAAAUUUGCCUUUCGAUAUAUGCAAAUGCAUCAAUGGAGUGCUCAAUUUCUGGUCGGAUAAUAAACCGAGCUUCCUAUCGAAUGGUGUCGAUAUAGGAAUAUUAACAUUGUGAUGGAGUUGAACUGUAAGGUGCGCCAUAAUUUACGCUGCAAUUUCUUUUUUUCUUAAAGAACUUGUAUUAUUUAUCUAAAAUUUAUAAUUUAAGUUUGAAACAUCUUCUAAUCAGACACACAUUAAUCGUUUUGGUCUUGAUUUGCUAUGUUGAGGCAAUGGCGUUAAACCGCAAAUCCGUGUUCUCAACUAUUUCUAGAA